Molecule: transfer RNA, 79 nt
Filed under: Mycolicibacterium tokaiense
Lineage: Bacteria; Bacillati; Actinomycetota; Actinomycetes; Mycobacteriales; Mycobacteriaceae
Description: tRNA-Arg
Source: RNAcentral
CCUGGGCCUGGCGCAGGGGUAUUGCCGCGGCCGCGGCGGCUCGAUGCACCUGCAGUGGUUCGAAGCCGGCGCCCUGGGC